AACCUCUCAGGGUUGCACCCGGUGAGUUCCCAGUACUCUACCAGUCUCAACCAUGGGAGGGAGAGUCAAGCAGAGGCCUAUCCAUUACAAUCCUAGCUUUGGCAGUGGCUAACGAGUGGAAGACAAUCUGCUACAGGU
Small nucleolar RNA from Tachyglossus aculeatus (Australian echidna), 138 nucleotides. NCBI's taxonomy places the organism in Eukaryota, Metazoa, Chordata, Mammalia, Monotremata, Tachyglossidae. The record is from RefSeq and is a predicted model, not a curated record.